Molecule: ribosomal RNA, 606 nt
Filed under: uncultured Actinomycetes bacterium
Lineage: Bacteria; Bacillati; Actinomycetota; Actinomycetes
Description: bacterial SSU rRNA
Rfam family: Bacterial small subunit ribosomal RNA
Source: RNAcentral
GAUGGGCCCGCGGUGCAUUAGCUAGUUGGUGGGGUAACGGCUCACCAAGGCGACGAUGCAUAGCUGGUCUGAGAGGAUGAUCAGCCACACUGGGACUGAGACACGGCCCAGACUCCUACGGGAGGCAGCAGCCAGGAAUCUUGGGCAAUGGGCGCAAGCCUGACCCAGCAACACCGUGUGGGCGAUGAAGGCCUUCGGGUCGUAAAGCCCUGUUGAUAGGGACGAAGGGCGAAGGGUUAAUAGCCCCUAGCCUGACGGUACCUUUCGAGGAAGCCCCGGCUAACUACGUGCCAGCAGCCGCGGUAAUACGUAGGGGGCGAGCGUUGUCCGGAUUUAUUGGGCGUAAAGAGCGUGUAGGCGGUUCGGUAAGUCUGUCGUGAAAUCCUGAGGCUCAACCUCGGGCGUGCGAUGGAUACUGCCGGGCUAGAGGAUGGUAGAGGCGAGUGGAAUUCCCGGUGUAGCGGUGAAAUGCGCAGAUAUCGGGAGGAACACCAGUAGCGAAGGCGGCUCGCUGGGCCAUUCCUGACGCUGAGACGCGAAAGCUAGGGGAGCGAACAGGAUUAGAUACCCUGGUAGUCCUAGCCGUAAACGAUGGACACUAGGUGU